CUCUGCUCUCUCUGCUCUCUCUCUACUCUCUGCUCCUCUCUACUCUCUGCUCUCUCUCGGCUCCCUGCUCUCUCUCUGCUCUCUCUGCUCUCUCUCUGCUCUCUGCUUUUCCUGCUCUCUCUGCUCUCUGCUCUCUCUGCUCUCUCUCUCUGCUCUCUCUCUCUCUCUUUUCUCUGCUGCUCUCUCUCUUUUCUCUGCUCUCUCUGCUCUCUCUCUGCCCUCCCUGCUCUCUCUCUGUUCUUUCUGCUCUCUCUCUCUGCUCUCUCUCUGCUCUCUCUCUCUCUCUGCUCUCUGCUCUCUCUCAGCCUGCUCCCUGCUCUCUCUCUGCUCUUUCUGCUCUCUCUCUCUGCUCUCUGCUCUGCUGCUCUCUCUCUGCUCUCUCUCUCUCUGCUCUGCUGCUCUCUCUCUUUUCUCUGCUCUCUCUGCUCUCUCUCUCUGCUCUCUCUCUCUGCUCUCUCUCUCUGCUCUCUCUCUCUGCUCUCUCUCUCUGCUCUCUGCUCUCGCUCUGCUCUCUAAGCCUGCUCUCUGCUCUCUCAGCGUGCUCUCUGCUCUCUCUCUCUUCUCUCUCUCUGCUCUCUGCUCUGCUGCUCUCUCUCUGCUCUUUCUGCUCUCUCUCUCUGCUCUCUCUCUGCUCUCUUCUCACUCACUGCUCUCUGCUCUCUCUCUCUAUUCUCUCUCUCUGUUUUCUGCUCUCUCUCUCUGCUCUCUCAGCCUGCUCCCUCUCUCUGCGCUCUCUCUCCCUCUGCUCUCUCUGUUCUCUGCGCUCUCUCUCCCUCUGCUCUCUCUGUUCUCUGCUCUCUGCUCUCCCUCUGCUCUCUCUGCUCUCUGUUCUCUGCUCUCUCUGCUCUCUCUCUCUCUCUCUCUGCCUCUGCUCUCUGCUCUCCUCUCUCACUGCUCUCUCCCUCUGCUCUCUCUCUCUGCUUUCCCUGCACUCUCUCUCUCUGCUCUUUGCUUUCCCUGCUCUCUCUGCUCUCUCAGCCUGCUCCCUCUCUCUCUUCUCUCUGUUCUCUGCUCUCUCUGCUCUCUCAGCCUGCUCUCUGUUCUCUGCUCUCUCUGUUCUCUGCUCUCUCAGCCUGCUCCCUCUCUCUCUUCUCUCUCUUCUCUGCUCUCUCUGCUCCUCUCUCUUCUGCUCUCUCUGCUCUCUCUGCUCUCUCUCUGUUCUCUGCUCUCUCUCUUUCUGCUCUCUCCCUCUCUGCUUUCGUGUCUUUGGUUAUGCCAGAUUAAGUGAUAUGACAUGCUAUCCUAUAAAAUCCUUUCUCUGUAAUUAAUAUCACCUGAUUAGCUAAUCAUGUAAAUGUAAUUAACUAGAAAGUCGGGACACCACGGAAGAGUGUUUAUAGAGCCAUUAUCUUCCGAAUAAACUCUUAACCUGAUGGGGAUAGGGGGCAGUAUUUGCACGGCCGGAUAAAAAACAUACCCG
RNAcentral lists this long non-coding RNA (1420 nucleotides) under Salmo trutta (river trout). RNAcentral's name for it is "lncRNA (ENSSTUG00000024195.1)". Lineage: Eukaryota; Metazoa; Chordata; Actinopteri; Salmoniformes; Salmonidae. The record is from RNAcentral.